UCCGGGGGUAGAGCACUGUUUCGGCUAGGGGGCCAUCCCGGCUUACCAACCCGAUGCAAACUGCGAAUACCGGAGAAUGUUAUCACGGGAGACACACGGCGGGUGCUAACGUCCGUCGUGAAGAGGGAAACAACCCAGACCGCCAGCUAAGGUCCCAAAGUCAUGGUUAAGUGGGAAACGAUGUGGGAAGGCCCAGACAGCCAGGAUGUUGGCUUAGAAGCAGCCAUCAUUUAAAGAAAGCGUAAUAGCUCACUGGUCGAGUCGGCCUGCGCGGAAGAUGUAACGGGGCUAAACCAUGCACCGAAGCUGCGGCAGCGACACUGUGUGUUGUUGGGUAGGGGAGCGUUCUGUAAGCCUGUGAAGGUGUGUCGUGAGGCAUGCUGGAGGUAUCAGAAGUGCGAAUGCUGACAUAAG
Molecule: ribosomal RNA, 414 nt
Filed under: Salmonella enterica
Lineage: Bacteria; Pseudomonadati; Pseudomonadota; Gammaproteobacteria; Enterobacterales; Enterobacteriaceae
Also listed under: 1 other name
Description: partial 23S ribosomal RNA
Rfam family: Bacterial large subunit ribosomal RNA
Source: RNAcentral